Penaeus indicus is the source of this 361-nucleotide long non-coding RNA. RefSeq lists it as uncharacterized. The record is from RefSeq and is a predicted model, not a curated record. The transcript has 3 exons. Lineage: Eukaryota; Metazoa; Arthropoda; Malacostraca; Decapoda; Penaeidae.
ACAUUUAGAUAAACAGCUCCUAGUUUAUGUUUAAAGAUAAAAUCCUCCAAGAUACUUGUGUAGAAUGUUGAUGGGUGUUCUAAUGUGCAUGACAACACGCUGUUACUAUGAAUGGCGUCACCGAUACUACAGUGAUAGAGGACUUCUGAACGGGCAGAGUUAGCGACAUGGCGACCCAGCUGAUCAACACGAGCGAGCGAUGUGUCGACGAGGCUCUGGAAGGCUUGAUGGCCGGGAACUCCGGUCUCCUUCUCCUGCCGGAACAGCGCAUGGUGGUCGAGCGCGCGUGGCUGACGGGGCGGCGCAAGGGAGUCGCUAUUGUCACGGGCGGAGGAUCAGGGCAUGAGCCUUUUGCCGCCGG